Molecule: long non-coding RNA, 874 nt
Organism: Ipomoea nil (Japanese morning glory)
Lineage: Eukaryota; Viridiplantae; Streptophyta; Magnoliopsida; Solanales; Convolvulaceae
Exons: 2
Source: RefSeq, a predicted model, not a curated record
GUUGGGUUCGAACCGGGUGAGGUUAGCAUUUACACUUGAGUUGGGGCGUUGGGCUUAAUACAAAAGCUCUGCAGCUUCGGAAAUCGGAAGUUGCGGCGGUUGUAGAGUGUUCGAUGUCGGACCCGUACGAGAGAGCCAAAGGAGGGAGGCUGGCCUUCAAGGGAGGCGACCUCGCAGUCCGCACCAAAUCCAUCGACAAAAAGAAGAAGAAAAAGAAGAAGUCAUCCGCCGACGACUUCGUUUCCGACGAGCCCUUGUCCGGCGACGCUGCCGUUGCCGCCUCGGAAAUGGGUUCGGGUUCAGCUCCUGACGGAGGAGAUAACAGUAUUUACACCAUUGACGCGGCGAAGAAGAUGAAGUACGACGAGUUGUUCCCAGUUGAAGCUAAGAAGUUCGGCUACGACCCGAAGGCUAAAGCCGAGUCCGUCGAACAAGCCCUUGAUGAUCGGGUCAAGAAGAAAGCUGAUCGCUACUGUAAAUAAAACGUCACAUUCUUAGGCAAUUAUUUAGGUGAUGGAGGAAAGCUUAAGGAUCCGGGGCGCUUUAAUGUGUAAACCCUCUCAUGGAAAUGUUAAUGAGCUGAAUCGAGUUAAAGCAAGCUGCAGAUCAUAGAAUACACUGCACUUGCGCACACACGUCUCUUUGAUGCUCACUACCAAGACAAUGUCGCUUUAACUGUAUACAUUACUUAUUCCUAGUGGUCGAACCCCUUGUAAACUGUGACAUCUUACCGGAAUUGCCUUGUUGCCAAAUUUCAACAGUUCCAUAGUAUUGGGCUAUUGGCAGACAAUGGAUGUUAAUGUUUCAAACACAAUUUCAGUGAAGUGGCUUUAGUAUCGUCUCUUUUAUGUUAUGUUAUUGAUCAUUAGUUAAA